UAUUAUUCGAUAAUAUUUGUGUUAUACCAGUUUUCGACCGGUUUAACGGUAAGGUACCUCGGAGCACCAAUCGGUACCUAUUUUCGUACCUAGUGUUAUAUAGGUACAACAUAGUAAAUGUGCCUCCCACAAAAGCGUUUUAUAUACUACCAAACAUGUCGUUCAGCGGGACCUCCGCGUAGACAGUGAACCAACCCUCGGUGCCCUCAGUUCCGGUGAUGAUGCCAUGCCGUUUGCUCAAGUGACCCAUUACAGCACCCUGGAAUUCCUCGGGUGCCGUGACCUCGACCAGCAUAAUGGGCUCUAGGAUUUGCCAGCUGCCGUUCUGGAAGACCUCUUUGAUGGCACCAUGGGCAGCCAACAUGAAGGCGAGCUCGCUGGAGUCCACGAUGUGGUGACCACCAUCUUGCAGGCGGAAUCGAAUGCCGGACAACUUGUGCCCGGAGAGCAUUCCCUUCUCAGCCAUCUCCCUGUAGCCUAAGCAAAUAAAAUAUUAAAAACGGAA
Drosophila simulans is the source of this 505-nucleotide long non-coding RNA. RefSeq lists it as uncharacterized. The transcript is spliced from 2 exons. The record is from RefSeq and is a predicted model, not a curated record. NCBI's taxonomy places the organism in Eukaryota, Metazoa, Arthropoda, Insecta, Diptera, Drosophilidae.